GAUGAACGCUGGCGGCGUGCUUAACACAUGCAAGUCGAGCGAAGCGCUUUUGCGGAUUUCUUCGGAUUGAAGCAACUGUGACUGAGCGGCGGACGGGUGAGUAACGCGUGGGUAACCUGCCUCAUACAGGGGGAUAACAGUUGGAAACGGCUGCUAAUACCGCAUAAGCGCACAGUACCGCAUGGUACCGUGUGAAAAACUCCGGUGGUAUGAGAUGGACCCGCGUCUGAUUAGCUAGUUGGUGGGGUAACGGCCUACCAAGGCGACGAUCAGUAGCCGACCUGAGAGGGUGACCGGCCACAUUGGGACUGAGACACGGCCCAAACUCCUACGGGAGGCAGCAGUGGGGAAUAUUGCACAAUGGGGGAAACCCUGAUGCAGCGACGCCGUGUGAGCGAUGAAGUAUUUCGGUAUGUAAAGCUCUAUCAGCAGGGAAGAAAAUGACG
Molecule: ribosomal RNA, 446 nt
Filed under: uncultured bacterium
Lineage: Bacteria
Description: bacterial SSU rRNA
Rfam family: Bacterial small subunit ribosomal RNA
Source: RNAcentral